Molecule: ribosomal RNA, 253 nt
Filed under: uncultured bacterium
Lineage: Bacteria
Description: partial 16S ribosomal RNA
Rfam family: Bacterial small subunit ribosomal RNA
Source: RNAcentral
UACGUAGGGGCCUAGCGUUGUCCGGAUUUAUUGGGCGUAAAGCGCUCGCAGGUGGUUCGUCGCGUCGUGCGUGAAAGACCCCGGCUCAACUGGGGGGUGUCGUGCGAUACGGGCGGACUGGAGGCCAGUAGGGGGAUGCGGAAUUCCGGGUGUAGUGGUGGAAUGCGUAGAGAUCCGGAGGAACACCAGCGGCGAAGGCGGCAUCCUGGACUGGUCCUGACACUCAGGAGCGAAAGCGUGGGGAGCGAUCCGG